This 497-nucleotide ribosomal RNA is filed under the name uncultured bacterium. RNAcentral's name for it is "partial 16S ribosomal RNA". It matches the Rfam family "Bacterial small subunit ribosomal RNA", at positions 28 to 507 of the family's 1533-position model. The record is from RNAcentral.
GAUGAACGCUGGCGGCGUGCCUAAUACAUGCAAGUCGAGCGAACAGACGAGGAGCUUGCUCCUCUGACGUUAGCGGCGGACGGGUGAGUAACACGUGGAUAACCUACCUAUAAGACUGGGAUAACUUCGGGAAACCGGAGCUAAUACCGGAUAAUAUAUUGAACCGCAUGGUUCAAUAGUGAAAGACGGUUUUGCUGUCACUUAUAGAUGGAUCCGCGCCGCAUUAGCUAGUUGGUAAGGUAACGGCUUACCAAGGCGACGAUGCGUAGCCGACCUGAGAGGGUGAUCGGCCACACUGGAACUGAGACACGGUCCAGGCUCCUACGGGAGGCAGCAGUAGGGAAUCUUCCGCAAUGGGCGAAAGCCUGACGGAGCAACGCCGCGUGAGUGAUGAAGGUCCUCGGAUCGUAAAACUCUGUUAUUAGGGAAGAACAAAUGUGUAAGUAACUAUGCACGUCUUGACGGUACCUAAUCAGAAAGCCACGGCUAACUACGUG